GUGGCGGGGGCUGAGCUCGGGCGGGGCGCGCUGCCGCCCGCCGAUGGCGGAGCGCCAGGCGGUGCUUUGCUGCCGCGGGCCGGGAGCUGCAGGAGCCGCCCCGGGCGAGCGGCGCCGGGCGCUGCCGCGGUCACUGUGCGGCGGCUGCCCUCGGGCUGGCGGAGGCGCGGGAGCCGCCGAGCUGCAGCGUCUCCCUCGGGCCGCUGCCGCUGCUGCGGGCGGGGGCGGACGAGCGGCUGCGGAGGCGGCUCCGCGGCGGGCUCAGCCUUGCGAGCAGAGAGCGCUCGACAUCGCUGGCAUGACACGGCUGCUGAGUGCCUCAGUGCUCGUGGCUCUUCCUUCCACGCAAACAGAUGGAGCGGCAUCGCUGAGCAGUAAAACACAGCGAUGGCCCGGAGAAUGGCGAGCGCAAGGAGCGCCGGGCAGGAUCCUUCUGAUGGCACAGGGUACUCAGAAAAUAUUUUUCCCUUAGAGUCCCACUGAAACAUUCUCCGUGCAAUGUCCGUUAAGUGCCAGGAGUCUGGAGAAACUGGAGAAGAGCCCAAGAGACAUUUUUCAUCCUGAGAUACAAAAGGAUUUAUUGGUUCUUGAAGGGCAAGAGGGAUUGGUGAAUUUUAAAUUUGGAGUCCUCUAUGCUAAGGAUGGUCAGCUUACAGGUGAUGAAAUGUUCAGUCAUGUAUUUGCUGGAGCUCUGCUUACCCAAGCUUUGGGUAAAACAAGCUUUGGGUUCCUUCUGUCCCACUGGGUGUUGCCCAGUUUGGUUGCAUCUGGUGAAAUUCAGCCUGAGCCCUUACAGAACCAGCUCAAACCACGUGAGAGCCAUUCGCAGCUCUCUCAGGACACCCGGAGGAGGAUGGGUGACGUUUCUGAGCAUCUGGCAAGUGUACUUCUAUCAAAACUCGGCCUGUGCAAUUUCUGGGGAAAACCCUUCUGUAUCCUGAAGGGUUCCUCAAACUCUGUUGAGGAUCCAGUUAGCAGUUGCUCACCUGGAUGGUUCCAGCUCCUCAAGCUAACACUUGUACUCUUGCCCUGUAGUUUAGAUCUAUUGUAGUUUUGUUAUUUUGCAAGAUUUUACGUCUUUGGACAGUAACGUGCAUUUCACUCUUUGGAACCUCUUGGAUCAUUCUUUGGUGCAGCACCACCUAAUGGGACACUUGGCUGCUGUGCUGAAGGGCUUGGUUACUGGAAUUGUAAAUCCCGGAGAGUUUGUAAGUCUUCUGUCCCCAGGGAGGUGUCACGCUUUGUUCACCGUUGCUCUGUUUGUCGGGUGCUGCUUCUCGUCGGAGGUAUUAACUUCAAACUGCCCUGUUCUUUUUUUAACUUUUUUUCCUGGUUCUCUCCGUAGGGCAGGGAAGGACUCUCGUAUCCCGGUCGUGAGACUCAGCGCUGCCCGAGAAGAUACAGAGACUGUAAAAAUCAUAAGGAGCAACUAGGACUGCAGAGGAAACAAACUGGAGAGAACAAAAGGUCGUGCUCUGAUGCAUUUACAGAAGCCAUGGCAGGAGAGAGUCAGCUGCUGGAGAAGAGGAGACAGUACUAUCCCUGUGCAGCACGGAACUGUGCUACUGCUGUGUCAUCAGCUGUGUCUGCACUGAAAGUAGCCACCUUCACUUGUAGGUAGCUCCUUGGUGCUUUAGGACACGCUGAGGGAUUUAUUCCUUUUGGGAUCCACGAUGAGAAUUCCCAAGAGAGGUAGUAGUAAUAAGGUCUGAGAUUGGAAAAAAGCCUGUGUCCUUGGAAUGUUGUUGUUGUCGUCAAAAGUUAAUUUUUCCUUCUUUCUUA
Molecule: non-coding RNA, 1782 nt
Organism: Agelaius phoeniceus (red-winged blackbird)
Lineage: Eukaryota; Metazoa; Chordata; Aves; Passeriformes; Icteridae
Source: RefSeq, a predicted model, not a curated record